Molecule: ribosomal RNA, 492 nt
Filed under: uncultured bacterium
Lineage: Bacteria
Description: partial 16S ribosomal RNA
Rfam family: Bacterial small subunit ribosomal RNA
Source: RNAcentral
AGUGAACGCUGGCGGUAGGCCUAACACAUGCAAGUCGAACGGCAGCACAGUAAGAGCUUGCUCUUACGGGUGGCGAGUGGCGGACGGGUGAGGAAUACAUCGGAAUCUACUUUUUCGUGGGGGUUAACGUAGGGAAACUUACGCUAAUACCGCAUACGACCUACGGGUGAAAGCAGGGGAUCUUCGGACCUUGCGCGUUUGAUUGAGCCGAUGUCGGAUUAGCUAGUUGGCGGGGUAAAGGCCCACCAAGGCGACGAUCCGUAGCUGGUCUGAGAGGAUGAUCAGCCACACUGGAACUGAGACACGGUCCAGACUCCUACGGGAGGCAGCAGUGGGGAAUAUUGGACAAUGGGCGAAAGCCUGAUCCAGCCAUACCGCGUGGGUGAAGAAGGCCUUCGGGUUGUAAAGCCCUUUUGUUGGGAAAGAAAAGCAGCAGGUUAAUACCCCGCUGUUCUGACGGUACCCAAAGAAUAAGCACCGGCUAACUUCGUG